RNAcentral lists this unclassified non-coding RNA (360 nucleotides) under soil metagenome. Its description in RNAcentral is "partial contains 5.8S ribosomal RNA, internal transcribed spacer 2, and large subunit ribosomal RNA". The stretch from base 1 to 120 matches the Rfam family "5.8S ribosomal RNA", at positions 35 to 154 of the family's 154-position model. The record is from RNAcentral.
GAUGAAGAACGUAGCGAAAUGCGAUAAGUAAUGCGAAUUGCAGAAUUCAGUGAAUCAUCGAAUCUUUGAACGCACAUUGCGCCCGCCAGUAUUCUGGCGGGCAUGCCUGUCUGAGCGUCGUUUCGAACCUCGCGCCCGGCUUCUGUCGGGGGCGGUGUUGGGGAUCGGCCACACCCUUCAGUGGGAGGCCGGCCCCUAAAUUCAGUGGCGACCACGCUGUAGCCUCCCCUGCGUAGUACUAAAACCACCUCGCAGGCGGAGAGCGGUGCGGCCCGCCGUAAAACCCCCCAACUUUUACAAGGUCGACCUCAGAUCAGGUAGGAAUACCCGCUGAACUUAAGCAUAUCAAUAAGCGGAGGA